This is a long non-coding RNA of Pelmatolapia mariae (spotted tilapia), 310 nucleotides long. RefSeq lists it as uncharacterized. The transcript has 4 exons. The record is from RefSeq and is a predicted model, not a curated record. NCBI's taxonomy places the organism in Eukaryota, Metazoa, Chordata, Actinopteri, Cichliformes, Cichlidae.
CUUAUCUCCCUCUACAAAGCCCCAAAGGUAGAGUGGGUGGGCCCUGUCAGCUGCAAACUGGAAGGGGAUGUUGCUGUUGGAGAAGGGGUGAAGAGAUUCUUCUUCUCAAAGGCAGUUUCUCUAGUACAGUCUGGUUUGCAUUUGAAUUUUGGGAACACAGAUCUUACAAGACUGUUUGACGGUGAGCCAGAACACUUGACUCCAUCCACUUCUCAGACCUUGCUUGAGAGUGACAUGUUUUUGGUGGCAGGAAGAAUAAUGGGACAUUCAUUCAUUCAUGGUGGACCGUGUGUGUCUGGUAUAAGUCCUG